This is a non-coding RNA of Acanthosepion pharaonis, 106 nucleotides long. The record is from the annotation of a GenBank genome assembly. NCBI's taxonomy places the organism in Eukaryota, Metazoa, Mollusca, Cephalopoda, Sepiida, Sepiidae.
AAGCUACGUUGAAAUAUCAGUUCCCAUACAAUCACCAACGUUAAGCAAUGUUGAGCCUGGUUAAUACUUAGAUGAAUGAUCAUUUGGGAAUACCAGGUGCUGUAAG